UACGGAGGAUGCAAGCGUUAUCCGGAAUUAUUGGGCGUAAAGCGUCCGUAGGUGGCUCAUCAAGUCUGCUGUCAAAGCGUGGAGCUUAACUCCAUAUCGGCGGUGGAAACUGAUGAGCUAGAGUGCGAUAGGGGUAGCAGGAAUUCCCAGUGUAGCGGUGAAAUGCGUAGAGAUUGGGAAGAACACCAGCGGCGAAAGCGUGCUACUGGGUCUGCACUGACACUGAGGGACGAAAGCUAGGGGAGCGAAAGGG
RNAcentral lists this ribosomal RNA (253 nucleotides) under uncultured bacterium. Its description in RNAcentral is "partial 16S ribosomal RNA". It matches the Rfam family "Bacterial small subunit ribosomal RNA", at positions 524 to 776 of the family's 1533-position model. RNAcentral also lists the same sequence under 1 other name. The record is from RNAcentral.